AUUGAACGCUGGCGGCAGGCCUAACACAUGCAAGUCGAACGGUAACAGGAAGAAGCUUGCUUCUUUGCUGACGAGUGGCGGACGGGUGAGUAAUGUCUGGGAAACUGCCUGAUGGAGGGGGAUAACUACUGGAAACGGUAGCUAAUACCGCAUAACGUCGCAAGACCAAAGAGGGGGACCUUCGGGCCUCUUGCCAUCGGAUGUGCCCAGAUGGGAUUAGCUAGUAGGUGGGGUAACGGCUCACCUAGGCGACGAUCCCUAGCUGGUCUGAGAGGAUGACCAGCCACACUGUGACUGAGACACGGUCCAGGCUCCUACGGGAGGCAGCGGUGGGGAAUAUUGCACAAUGGGCGCAAGCCUGAUGCAGCCAUGCCGCGUGUAUGAAGAAGGCCUUCGGGUUGUAAAGUACUUUCAGCGUGGAGGAAGGGAGUAAAGUUAAUACCUUUACUCAUUGACGUUACCCGCAGAAGAAGCACCGGCUAACUCCGUG
This 490-nucleotide ribosomal RNA is filed under the name uncultured bacterium. Its description in RNAcentral is "partial 16S ribosomal RNA". It matches the Rfam family "Bacterial small subunit ribosomal RNA", at positions 30 to 507 of the family's 1533-position model. The record is from RNAcentral.